Humulus lupulus (European hop) is the source of this 849-nucleotide long non-coding RNA. RefSeq lists it as uncharacterized. The transcript has 3 exons. NCBI's taxonomy places the organism in Eukaryota, Viridiplantae, Streptophyta, Magnoliopsida, Rosales, Cannabaceae. The record is from RefSeq and is a predicted model, not a curated record.
GUCUUUCUCUAUCUCUCUGUCAACCAUCCUUUCCCAGUCAUUGGGCUUGUCGCAUGCUGCUUUCCUUCAACCAUGAAGGACUGAGAGUAAUCAGUUUUACAAUCAGAAAAAACUUGAAAAGCCUAGACUUCAAGAUUUAUCAGUGAUAAAACACGGAAAUAUUCACUGAAUGCCAUGGUUUAACGUGCACACACUCUUCCAUUGUCUUCCAGUGUCGAAGAAACCAGCCUUCUCUCAGAAAUUGUGGAGUCUCUUCUGUAGAGGUAUUGAUUAUAUUCCUUUGGUUGUGGAUCGAAUUGGCAAGGAGCAAAUUUAAUUAACUUGAUUAUUAAUAGCAAGAGGUACGGAAGUAUAUUCUUUUAACUCUUUUAUUAAUAUCAUACAAAUGUUAGAGGAGUUUGAAUAUCUUAAAUAUUCAUCCAUAGAGAAGUAGGUUCUGAGAUUAAAAUUGUGUGCUGCGGUGAUAACGGAAGGUUGAAAUUUUGUGUGUCUUAGAGAAGUAGGUUCUGGAAAAUUUGUUUGUGUGUUGCGAUGAUAUAAGGAUGAAAACUUAUUGUGUGUUGUUUGAAUUUUUUUACUUGGUAUUGAUAGAUGGUUAGGUAAGCUUUUAAUUUUACUUAGUGGUUGGCAUAUUAAUUUUAUUUUUGUUAAUAAUCAAUUGUUGACAUAUAAAGCUAAAAGUACUAGUAGACUAUUCCCAUAAGAAUGAUUACUUUAAUAAAUUUAUUAGCGUUUUAUUACUUCUAAGCUAGACAAAAGCUAAACAAAUUUAUCAAUAAGAACUAUAUUACUUUUAAGCUAGACAAAAGCUCAAUGAUUGAACAAAACACAAGAAGAUCCAAAAGAACA